Molecule: ribosomal RNA, 698 nt
Filed under: Drabastrum alpestre
Lineage: Eukaryota; Viridiplantae; Streptophyta; Magnoliopsida; Brassicales; Brassicaceae
Description: eukaryotic LSU rRNA
Rfam family: 5.8S ribosomal RNA (bases 368-523)
Source: RNAcentral
UCCGCGACGUCGCGAGAAGUCCACUAAACCUUAUCAUUUAGAGGAAGGAGAAGUCGUAACAAGGUUUCCGUAGGUGAACCUGCGGAAGGAUCAUUGUCGAAACCUGUACCAAACAGAACGACCCGUGAACUAACGAUCACCACUCGCGGUGGGCUGGUUUCUUAUCGAUCCCAUGCCCGCCGGAUCCGUGGUUUCGCGAACUGUCUUGGCCGGGAGCUCUCUCUCGGUCUGGCCGUGCGCGUUGCUUCCGGAUAUCACAAAACCCCGGCACGAAAAGUGUCAAGGAACAUGCAACCGAACGGCAGGCGUUCGCCUCCCCGGAGACGGAGUGUGUGCGAAUGCCGAGCUGUGAUCUAAAGUCUAAAACGACUCUCGGCAACGGAUAUCUUGGCUCUCGCAUCGAUGAAGAACGUAGCGAAAUGCGAUACUUGGUGUGAAUUGCAGAAUCCCGUGAACCAUCGAGUCUUUGAACGCAAGUUGCGCCCUAAGCCUUCUGGCCGAGGGCACGUCUGCCUGGGUGUCACAAAUCGUCGUCCCCCCUCAAUUCGUUUGCGGGUUAGGGACGGAAAUUGGUCUCCCGUGUGUUACCGCACGCGGUUGGCAAAAAUCCGAGCCAAGGACGCUGAGCGCGUUCCGACAUGCGGUGGUGAACUCUUGUCCACUUUCAUAGUGUCGGCCGCUCUUGUCUAUAAGCUCUU